RNAcentral lists this ribosomal RNA (222 nucleotides) under uncultured bacterium. RNAcentral describes it as "partial 16S ribosomal RNA". It matches the Rfam family "Bacterial small subunit ribosomal RNA", at positions 109 to 334 of the family's 1533-position model. The record is from RNAcentral.
AGUAAUGUAUGGGGAUCUGCCUGAUGGGGGGGGAUAACUACUGGAAACGGUAGCUAAUACCGCAUAACGUCGCAAGACCAAAGAGGGGGACCUUAGGGCCUCUUGCCAUCGGAUGUGCCCAGAUGGGAUUAGCUAGUAGGUGGGGUAAUGGCUCACCUAGGCGACGAUCCCUAGCUGGUCUGAGAGGAUGACCAGCCACACUGGAACUGAGACACGGUCCAG